RNAcentral lists this ribosomal RNA (1414 nucleotides) under uncultured Parcubacteria group bacterium. Its description in RNAcentral is "bacterial SSU rRNA". It matches the Rfam family "Bacterial small subunit ribosomal RNA", at positions 17 to 1380 of the family's 1533-position model. The record is from RNAcentral.
UCCUGGCUCAGGAUGAACGCUGGCAGCAUGGAUAACCCUUGCAAGUCGUCCGUCCAAUUUUUUGGAUUUUAUUUUUCCAUCUAAAAUGUUUGAAUUAAAAUCCGGCAAUUUGGACGGAGGCAAACGGGCUAGUAACAGGUGAGAAUCUACCCCAAAGUAUGGAAUAACCCGGAGAAAUCCGGGAUAAUACCGUAUGUGCUCGCCUAACUUUUUAGAUGUUAAUAAAAAAUUAUCUGUUUUGAUUAAUAUUUAAAAAAUUAAGCGAGUAAAGAUUUCGGUCGCUUUGGGAGGAGCUCGCUUACUAUCAGCUUGUUGGUAGGGUAAUGGCCUACCAAGGCUAUGACGGUUAGGGGGUGUGAGAGCAUGACCCCCAGCAUUGGCACUGAAACACUGGCCAAACACCUACGGGUGGCUGCAGUCGAGAAUCUUCCACAAUGGGGGAAACCCUGAUGGAUCGAUGCUGCUUGCGGAAUGAAAGCCUUCGGGUUGUAAACCGCUUUUGUAGGGGACGAAAUUUUUGACGGUACCCUUUCGAAUAAGAGGUUGCUAACUCUGUGCCAGCAGCAGCGGUAAUACAGAGACCUCAAGCGUUAUCCGGAUUUACUGGGCGUAAAGCGUCUGUAGGGGGUUUAUUAAGUUCCAAGUAAAAUUUCAAGGCUCAACUUUGAAUUCGCUUGGAAAACUAAUAAACUGGAGUCUAGCAGAGGUGCAUGGAACUUGUGGUGCAGGAGUGAAAUCCGUUGAUAUCACAAGGAACACCAAAGGCGAAGGCAUUGCACUGGGCUAGCACUGACCCUGAGAGACGAAAGCGUGGGGAGCAAAACGGAUUAGAUACCCGUGUAGUCCACGCCCUAAACGAUGAAUGCUAAAUGUUCGGGGAUUCGACCCCCUGGGUGUUACAGCUAACGCGUUAAGCAUUCCGCCUGGGAAGUACGGCCGCAAGGCUAAAACUCAAAGGAAUAGACGGGGAUCCGCACAAGCGGUGGAGCGUCUGGUUUAAUUCGACAGUAAGCGUGGUACCUCACCAGGGUUUGACAUCCCUUGACAGCCUUGGAAACAAGGUUUCCUUCGGGCAAGGUGACAGGUGCUGCAUGGUCGUCGUCAGUUCGUGCCGUGAGGUGUUCCGUUAAGUCGGGAAACGAACGAAACCCCUAUUGCAUGUUACAAUUUCUCAUGCAAGACUGCCCGGAUAUACUGGGAGGAAGGUGGGGAUGACGUCAGAUCUGCAUGGUCCUUAUACCCUGGGCGACACAGGCGCUACAAUGGCAGAGACAAAGGGUUGCAAAACCGCAAGGUGAAGCUAAUCCCAAAAACUUUGUCUAAGUUCGGAUUGAAGGCUGCAAUUCGCCUUCAUGAAGCUGGAAUCGCUAGUAAUCGUGAAUCAGCCACGUCACGGUGAAUAUGUUCCCGGAUC